UCCUAACUAAACAAAAAUGACCUGGUUCCCAUUGCGUCUCUUCUGUACUCGUUAGCCACGAGCAGCCGUUGACGACUUUCCUCUAAACUCCGGCCACUAACACCAAGUCACCGAUCGCAGACGGGAGGGAUAGAUUUAUGUUUGGCUAACGGGCAAAUAGAUAGAAAAGGAAAGAAAGGAAGGUACAAUUUCAAGGAGAAGAGAGAAUGAGGUCAUCUUUUACUUCCGGUGCCAUAAAUAUUGCUGCGAGUGCUCAAACGCUUGAUGUUGAUAAUCGGAUUUCUCUUCGAUACUACUAUCGGAUCGCUGAUAAUAUUCUCAAACAGGCUGACAUCUUUCGAGAAGAGAAGAAUAUCAUAGAUCUGUAUAUAAUGCUGUUGAGGUUUUCAAGCUUGGUAUCAGAGACGAUACCAUGUCAUCGAGAUUAUGGGUUGUCUCUACAAAGCAAAAAAGUUCAUUUGAAAAAGAAAUUGUUGAAUGCUUUGAGUGAGUUGGAGGAGUUGAAGCCAAAAGUGCAGCAAAACAUUAAUGAAUUCAAUAGAAAACAUACACGUCAAGUAAAUGGGUGGGGCAAUGUUCAUCAACAUGAUUCAUUAGAGUGGCCUCCUGUCAAAAAGAAAACUUUGACUAGCUAUGAUGUGACAAAGGCGGUGGGACCAGCUGCACGAGCAUUUGUUUAUCCAGGUUCAGGAACUCAGCAAUUUUCACAUGCUAGGCCAGUGGAAGAGCAAUUCAGAAGAAUAUCUUUAAAUUUACCUCGUCCUAAGGAGGAUACUCUUUCUAGACAUUCUAUAUUGGGUCCAAAUGGGCUACAUGGUCCAUGGCAGCCACCUAGGAGUGAUAAAGGAGUCCAGUAUCCAAGCAACUUAGACCUCACUCCAGUUGCAAUCCCUAGCCUGCAACAAUCCGCAGAAAAUGGGGUUAGAGUGAAAGAGGACACCAGCAAUUUGGAGCCUCAUAACCUGCAGCAGUCUGAAGAAAAUGGAUUUACAAUAAAAUCAGACAAUAGCAGCGCAGAACUUGAAAGAGCAAGUCUAGAGUCAGUUCUUACUCUGAAUGUUGAUAGUCAGAUGCACUCUGCUCAAGAACCCUCUUCCAUGAUUUCCUUUGAAACAACAGAGACCCCUGUUCAGAAAGAUUUGAUUAGACAGCCAUCUCCUCCAGCUGUACUUGCAGAAGUACAAGAUUUGAUAUCUUCAUUGUCUUCCCAAGUUACUGAAGCAGAAAAUAAAAUGGAUAUUUGCUCACCUGAUAAUUUUGUUCAUUCUGAAUCUCCCCUGCAACUGCAUAUUGUAAGAUCGUGGGCAACCUUGUUUUUACUGUGAUUUAGUAUCUUCUGUGAGUUUUGCUCUUAGUCAAGAAUCUUACUGAGGAUGCAUAUUGUUACUGCUAUUCAUUCUCUUUAUCCUGCUAAAAUUUUUCCAUUUUUAACGUUUGGGGUUUCCGCAUAUUUUUCCCUUUUUUUGUUUGUAAUUUAACUAUUUGUUACCUAUAAAUUUAUCCCAGAUUAAUGUAGCUAGCAAAAUAAAAUAAGGGUGUUUUGGGAAGGUUAUGCAAGCUUGUGCAUUCUCCAAGUUACAAACACAUCGUCUUCUUAAAAAGUUGGAAAAUUUGAAUAAUUUGUAUGACAAACAAUGCGGUAGAGGGAUCAUCUGUUGAUCUGUGGUCUUCUACUAACUAUUGUUUUUCUUUGCAGUCAACAACAUUGAUGGAGAACUUCAUGAAGCUGGCAAAGUCAAAUACUGAUAAGAAUUUAGAAACUUGUGGUGUCCUAGCUGGUUCCCUUAAAAACAGAAAGUUCUAUAUUACAGCUCUCAUUAUCCCAAAGCAGGAAUCUACAUCAGAUUCAUGUCAGACCACAAAUGAAGAGGAAAUAUUUGAAGUGCAGGAUAAACGAUCUUUAUUCCCCCUUGGGUGGAUACAUACGCAUCCUACACAGUCUUGUUUUAUGUCAUCGAUUGAUCUUCACACCCAUUAUUCAUAUCAGAUUAUGCUGCCAGAAGCUGUUGCCAUUGUCAUGGCACCAAGAGAUACUUCAAGAAAACAUGGCAUUUUUCGGUUGACAACCCCUGGUGGCAUGUCGAUCAUAAGACAGUGCCAGCAACGUGGAUUUCAUCCGCAUAAUCAACCUCCAGAUGGUGGGCCUCUUUACAAAGCCUGUACAGAUGUCUAUAUGAAUCCCAACCUAAAGUUUGAUGUUAUUGACCUACGGUGAUCUUAUUUGUUGAAUUUCAUUAGAUAAUGUUUUGGCAAUGUAAUUGUUCAUAGAUUAUCCAUUUGUGCUGGCGACCUUACCUUUGAUUCUUAAACUGUAAAAUUUCUUGUGUAAAGAAGGGGAUAUUACAAUUGCCUGGAUAAUAAAAUCCAUCCGUCCAUCACUGGAACUGGAACGUACAUCUUCAAAGUUUUAUAACGAGGAUAAGGC
This 2425-nucleotide unclassified non-coding RNA is filed under the name Hevea brasiliensis (rubber tree). Lineage: Eukaryota; Viridiplantae; Streptophyta; Magnoliopsida; Malpighiales; Euphorbiaceae. The record is from RNAcentral.